AUCAGCGGCGGACGGGUGAGUAACACGUGGGUAACCUGCCUGUAAGACUGGGAUAACUCCGGGAAACCGGGGCUAAUACCGGAUAACACCUACCCCCGCAUGGGGGAAGGUUGAAAGGUGGCUUCGGCUAUCACUUACAGAUGGACCCGCGGCGCAUUAGCUAGUUGGUGAGGUAACGGCUCACCAAGGCGACGAUGCGUAGCCGACCUGAGAGGGUGAUCGGCCACACUGGGACUGAGACACGGCCCAGACUCCUACGGGAGGCAGCAGUAGGGAAUCUUCCGCAAUGGACGAAAGUCUGACGGAGCAACGCCGCGUGAGUGAAGAAGGUUUUCGGAUCGUAAAACUCUGUUGUUAGGGAAGAACAAGUGCCGUUCGAAUAGGGCGGCACCUUGACGGUACCUAACCAGAAAGCCACGGCUAACUACGUGCCAGCAGCCGCGGUAAUACGUAGGUGGCAAGCGUUGUCCGGAAUUAUUGGGCGUAAAGCGCGCGCAGGUGGUUUCUUAAGUCUGAUGUGAAAGCCCACGGCUCAACCGUGGAGGGUCAUUGGAAACUGGGGAACUUGAGUGCAGAAGAGGAAAGUGGAAUUCCAAGUGUA
Molecule: ribosomal RNA, 601 nt
Filed under: Bacillus sp. (in: firmicutes)
Lineage: Bacteria; Bacillati; Bacillota; Bacilli; Caryophanales; Bacillaceae
Description: bacterial SSU rRNA
Rfam family: Bacterial small subunit ribosomal RNA
Source: RNAcentral